Molecule: ribosomal RNA, 254 nt
Filed under: uncultured bacterium
Lineage: Bacteria
Description: partial 16S ribosomal RNA
Rfam family: Bacterial small subunit ribosomal RNA
Source: RNAcentral
UACGGAGGGAGCUAGCGUUGUUCGGAUUUACUGGGCGUAAAGGGCGCGUAGGCGGCCAGCACAAGUCAGUUGUGAAAUCUCCGAGCUUAACUCGGAACGGUCAACUGAUACUGUGCGGCUAGAGUGCGGAAGGGGCAACUGGAAUUCUUGGUGUAGCGGUGAAAUGCGUAGAUAUCAAGAGGAACACCUGCGGCGAAGGCGGGUUGCUGGGCCGACACUGACGCUGAGGCGCGAAAGCUAGGGGAGCGAACGGG